RNAcentral lists this ribosomal RNA (1899 nucleotides) under Triticum aestivum (bread wheat). RNAcentral describes it as "partial small subunit ribosomal RNA". The record is from RNAcentral. Lineage: Eukaryota; Viridiplantae; Streptophyta; Magnoliopsida; Poales; Poaceae.
CCUGAUUGUUAGGAGAACUUGCCCCAAAUACUUGCCCCAAAUACUAAAGGAAGCAGAAUAGUCAUUACGACGCGCAAUGACGAUAUAGCUCGGCUGGCGUCCAAAGGACGUGCACUAAAAAGUGAAUGCUUGCCAGAUGACAAGGCAUGGUUACUCUUCCGUAGGAAAGCUUUUCGGAGGGAGGAAGAUUAUGAAUGCCCUACGGAGCUGAAGGGCCACUCAGAGCAGAUAGUGGCCAAGUGUAAAGGCUUGCCUCUUGCUAUUGUGUCAGUUGGAAGUCUCUUGUUUGUGCGCGAGAAGAAUCCAACAGAAUGGAAACGAAUCCAUGACCAGCUAGGUUGGGAGCUGGCGCAUAACCCGGGGCUUGAUGAUGUGAGGAAUACUUUGUAUUUGAGCUUCAUAUACCUUCCUACAUACCUGAAGAGUUGUUUUCUGUACUGUUCCUUGUUUCCGGAGGACUACAUUCUUCACAGGAAGUUACUCAUCAGACUAUGGAUUGCAGAGGGGUUCAUUGAGGAAAGGGGUCAUAGUAGUACAUUGGAAGAAGUGGCAGAAGGCUAUUUGAACGAGCUUGUCCACAGAAAUAUGCUGCAGCCUGCGGAAUGCAACUCAUUUGGCAGAAUAAGAUCCUGCAAAAUGCAUGACAUUGUUCGUGAGUUGGCAAUUGAUUUAUCCCAGAAAGAAAGUUUUGGUCUUGCAUAUGAGUAUGGGAAUCAUGGUAUUCUGGACACAAACACUCGUCGCUUGGUUGUAUCUAAAUGCAGCAAUGAUAUUUUGCCACAUUUACAGCUACCUCGUCUUAGAUCUUGCAUCAUAUUUCAUAAGGCCAUGCCAUCAUCCAGAAUACUUGAUUCUGUAGCAGUUAACUCUAAGUACAUCGUAGUCCUAGAACUAUGUGGCUUGACCAUCGAGGAAGUGCCAAGUGCUGUUGGAGAUCUUUUUAAUCUGCGCGAUUCAAAGGUGAAGAUCCUCCCGAAGUCUAUUGAGAAGCUCUCCAACUUGUUGACAUUGGAUAUUUUCAACAGUGUGAUACAAGAAUUGCCUCAUGGGAUUGUCAAGCUGAAGAACUUGAGGCACUUACUUGUUGAGAGAAUUGUAGAUCGGUCACAUCGAUCUUUUAUAUGUCGCCAUGGUAUGCGCAUCCAGAAGGGUCUAUCAAAAUUGACAAGUUUGCAGACGCUGAAUACAAUUGAAGCACGAGAAGAUUCUAUUAAAGAGCUGGGGGAGCUAAAGCAACUAAGGAGCUUGAGGAUAAGUAACCAGAAGGAAACCCACUGUGCGCUUUUUUGCAGGUCCAUCUUGAAGAUGCAACUCUUGAAUCAAUUACAUAUUACCAUGAGUGACAAGGAUCAAAUUCUUCAGUUGAAUGAGCUGAAAACCCCACCCCUCAACCUUCAGAAACUCAUUCUGAGAGGGAGAUUGGCAGAAGUGACAUUUCAGUCUCCUCUUUUCCAGAAAGGAGGGAAGAAGCUAUGUGGACUAUAUCUUGUUUGGUCGUGUCUGCCAGAAGAUCCCCUCCCAUCCAUCUCGGGAUUGGAUAACCUGACAGAGCUGCAUCUUACAGAAGCAUUCGUCGGGAAAAUAUUAACAUUCAACAAGGGAUGGUUCCCCAAUUUGAAGUCUCUGAAACUGCGUGACUUGCCUUCUCUAAGUAAGCUAAAGAUAAAGAAAGGUGCCAUGGAAAGCCUCCAUAUUUUGCAGCUAGUGAACCUGAGAAAAUUGAAGGGUGUUCCAGCUGGCCUUGAGUUUCUUACAUCCCUCCAAAGUUUAAGUUUUCUCCAUAUCACUGAAGAGUUCCUUGUGUUGCUUAAUGAAUAUUCUGGGAUUAAGGAGAUCCCGGUGUGGGAUUCUAUAGAAGAUCAGCCUGUGACAAGGAAAUGUAAGUCACUCACCAACUAG